RNAcentral lists this ribosomal RNA (372 nucleotides) under uncultured organism. RNAcentral's name for it is "bacterial SSU rRNA". It matches the Rfam family "Bacterial small subunit ribosomal RNA", at positions 526 to 896 of the family's 1533-position model. The record is from RNAcentral.
CGUAGGAGGCAAGCGUUAUCCGGAUUCACUGGGCGUAAAGCGCGUGCAGGUGGCGCGGUAAGUUGGGCGUGAAAUCUCCCGGCUCAACUGGGAGAGGUCGUUCAAUACUACCGUGCUUGAGAGCAGAAGAGGAAGAUGGAAUUCCCGGUGUAGUGGUGAAAUGCGUAGAUAUCGGGAGGAACACCAGUGGCGAAGGCGAUCUUCUGGUCUGUUUCUGACACUCAGACGCGACAGCUAGGGUAGUAAACGGGAUUAGAGACCCCGGUAAUCCUAGCCGUAAACGAUGUGAACUUGGCGUUGGUGGGUUAAACUCCAUCAGUGCCGUAGCAAACGCGAUAAGUUCACCGCCUGGGGACUACGGCCGCAAGGUUA